Pezoporus occidentalis (night parrot) is the source of this 1788-nucleotide long non-coding RNA. RefSeq lists it as uncharacterized. The transcript has 2 exons. The record is from RefSeq and is a predicted model, not a curated record. NCBI's taxonomy places the organism in Eukaryota, Metazoa, Chordata, Aves, Psittaciformes, Psittacidae.
AUAGGCAUAAAAAAGGUAGUUGAAAUAAGACCAGGUGUAAUCCAGGAGAUGGUGAGGGAAAACAGUCUGUGCCCAGUACAGAAACAGUGAGGCAUUAAACAUGCAACUGUCUCUUGGGCUCCCAGACUCAGAACACACAUCAAAGGCCUGAACUUGGUCCAAACCAUAAUUUCUUUUUUUUCUUCCUUCCCUCCCUUUUUUUUUUUUUAUUUUGGAGGGGGGAAUCUCAACAGCCUUAUAUAAACCAAGUUUCACAACCUGGGGCAGGUGCAUAGCUUUCUCUGUACUCCUCCUAUUUUCCUUUCACAGGAAAAAAAAAAGGUGAGACAGAAAGGCAGACCAACUUGUGCCUUGCAGUGGUGUUAACUCCUAGCAAAAGUUGUUGGGAGAUUGGAGCACAGUCUCUCGGCAGGAGCCAGCAGCCUUAUGGGUCUGUGCUGGGAAACAGUUACGAUGCUUGUGCUUUUGCAGCCUAGGGAAAGGAAAUGUAGUGACUCAACAUGCUCAUGCCAGUGGGUGUCAUCUUCGUGUUGAGAUGCAUGUAAUGGCAUCAGGAAUUAAUUCAGUAUUCCCCUUGCGCAUAAGGCUGACAGGAACUAACUCAGACCGGAGGCAUGCUCUGGCACGCAUGACGUCAUGACUUUGAAGGCACUUCUCACAAUGGUCUCGGGAAACCACCAGCCAACUGGUGGUGUGCUGCUUGGCAAGAGGAGGGAACAGGACAAGGAAGCCGAGCCCUCCUACAGAAGGAAAUUCUAGGAGAGCUUCUCCAUAGAUGUGGGUCUCACGUUCUGCUGCGAUCCAUGGACCUUUGGUCACCAGCCCUCUGUGUUGGAGCAAGUCUGAGGUAAAUGAUGCAUUAAAACGUUGGGCUUCCUCUAGGGCAGUUAAUUUUUACAUUUCAGAUGCUCCACAGCAGCAGAGAGGAAGGACAGAAGUGCAAGAAGACAGUGUAACAUUGCUGCCAUUGCAGCCAUACACAGUAAAGUCUCACGUCUAGGCAAUGUGAUCUUGUAGUUUAAAGUUGCUAAUUACAAUUGCUUAAUGGAAGUGUGACAAAUGCUGCCUCCUAAUUGGAAGAAGUAGUGAUUCACAGGAAGCCUAACAUAUCCAGGACUCCCAGAUACAAGUUCCUUAUGCUACAAGACAUGAUGCUGGAGAUAAACACCUCCAGUGUAUUAACUUCAAGCCAUAACUUAAAAAUGGCUGAAGGCACCACUGGUGAAGAUUUGAUAACAACUGCUCUCCAGUUUGGUAGUGAGUGCAGGAUCAGAAGCUGUGUCUGAACAUCUAGAUCUCAGCUGGAGCUAACUUGAUGGUCCUCAAGCACCCUCUGCUAAACAGUGCAAUAGAUUGCUGCAGGUCAUUUUUGCCAGGGCACUAUAUGCAGCACCAACCAUGUACUGAUUGAGAAAAAACAUUUAUGUUUGCUGAAAAGGCUUCACUCUAUGUGGCAGUGGUUCUUUACAUGUGCAGCCAAUACACACCACACCUCGACAGGACCCACAAGUGCACACAGCACAGGAGAUUAGGAUAUAUGUGCCUGCACACUCUUAUGAAGUUGAGCCUUAGGUGACAACUAAUUCUGAAUGACGUGUUAAAAAAAGCCACAGAUAUGCAGUAAGGGCUAAUCCUAACCUGAAAAAAUGAUUCUCUUUCUAUCCUUGUCUGACCCUUGGGAAAGAAAGCCUAGUCUCUGACAUUGACUUUACCCAUGGCCUUAGUCAAGUCUUAGUCUCAACUUCUUAGCUUUAUACACUGGGCAUAAUAAACAUUUUGUUUUAGUUG